This 465-nucleotide ribosomal RNA is filed under the name uncultured bacterium. RNAcentral describes it as "partial 16S ribosomal RNA". It matches the Rfam family "Bacterial small subunit ribosomal RNA", at positions 338 to 795 of the family's 1533-position model. The record is from RNAcentral.
CCUACGGGAGGCUGCAGUGGGGAAUAUUGCGCAAUGGGCGAAAGCCUGACGCAGCGACGCCGCGUGAGGGAUGAAGGUCUUCGGAUCGUAAACCUCUGUCAGCAGGGAAGUACGGUCACUGUGCUAAUCAGCAGUGAAUUGACGGUACCUGCAAAGGAAGCACCGGCUAACUCCGUGCCAGCAGCCGCGGUAAUACGGAGGGUGCGAGCGUUAAUCGGAAUUACUGGGCGGAAAGCGCUCGUAGGAGGUAUGUCAAGUCAGGGGUGAAAGCCACGCGCUCAACGUGGGAACUGCCUUUGAAACUGGCAAACUGGAGUGUGUGAGAGGAUAGUGGAAUUCCAGGUGUAGGAGUGAAAUCCGUAGAUAUCUGGAGGAACAUCAGUGGCGAAGGCGACUAUCUGGCACAUAACUGACGCUGAGGAGCGAAAGCGUGGGUAGCAAACAGGAUUAGAUACCCGUGUAGUC